This 88-nucleotide ribosomal RNA is filed under the name uncultured Methanobacteria archaeon. RNAcentral describes it as "partial 16S ribosomal RNA". It matches the Rfam family "Archaeal small subunit ribosomal RNA", at positions 385 to 473 of the family's 1478-position model. Lineage: Archaea; Methanobacteriati; Methanobacteriota; Methanobacteria. The record is from RNAcentral.
GUGCCACUCUUAACGGGGUGGCUUUUCUUAAGUGUAAAAAGCUUCUGGAAUAAGGGCUGGGCAAGACCGGUGCCAGCCGCCGCGGUAA